GGGUGGGGUUUAGGAUUUAGGGUUUAGGGUUUAUGGUUUAGAGUUUAGGGUUUAAGGUUUAGGGUUUAGGGUUUAGAGUUUAGGGUUUAGGGUUUAGAGUUUAGGGUUUAGGGUUUAGAGUUGAGAAAUGAGGUUUUGGGGAUAAGAUUUCAAAUUUGGAAAAAUAAAAAAAUUAAAAUUUUCAAAGGAUAAACUUAGAAAGGUGCUACUUUGGUCAUUUUAGUUUUUGAGU
RNAcentral lists this long non-coding RNA (232 nucleotides) under Brassica napus (rape). RNAcentral's name for it is "long non-coding RNA (BNAP_LNC021143)". Lineage: Eukaryota; Viridiplantae; Streptophyta; Magnoliopsida; Brassicales; Brassicaceae. The record is from RNAcentral.